This 582-nucleotide small RNA is filed under the name Pongo abelii (Sumatran orangutan). RNAcentral's name for it is "retained intron". Lineage: Eukaryota; Metazoa; Chordata; Mammalia; Primates; Hominidae. The record is from RNAcentral.
AUCAGAUUAGGAGUAUCAAAUUUUAACUUCUGGAUUCCCUUGUGCUCUUGCCAUUGAGCGGUAGGAACCUGUCAAAGGAUGUGUUAGUUCAGCUGUUGGACAAAAAGGUAGGACAACACAGAGACUUGUGUCCCCCUGGAAGUUGCCCUGUUAGCUAAUAGCACGCUUUUUUCACUCUCCUGCUCGGCUCAUCAUUUUGUCAUCCCAACCCUGCUACCGCUGUUGGUAUAUGCCAUGGCCUCCUGCCAACCUACCAGCCUUCGAUCCUUCAGUUCCGACAGGUCUCACACUCUGAGCCAUGCCUCCUACCUGAGGGACAGUGCCGUGAUGGAUGACUCAGUUGUGAUUCCCAGUCACCAGGUGUCAACUCUAGCCAAGGAGGCAGAAAGGAAUUCUUAUCGCCUAAGCUGGGGUACUGAGAACUUAGACAACGUGGCUCUUUCUUCUAGUCCUAUUCAUUCAGGUUUCCUGGUUAGUUUUAUGGUGGAUGCCCGAGGUGGUGCUAUGCGAGGAUGCAGACACAAUGGGCUCCGAAUCAUUAUUCCACCUCGGAAAUGUACUGCUCCAACGCGAGUCACCUGC